ACGAUUGACGGAGCGAAGCGACGUCAAAGCGUUCAUUAAAGUCGAGUUGGCUUAGGGAUACGUUCGUUGGGUAGGGGAGCGUUCUGUAAGCCUGUGAAGGUGUGUCGUGAGGCAUGCUGGAGGUAUCAGAAGUGCGAAUGCUGACAUAAGUAACGAUAAAGCGGGUGAAAAGCCCGCUCGCCGGAAGACCAAGGGUUCCUGUCCAACGUUAAUCGGGGCAGGGUGAGUCGACCCCUAAGGCGAGGCCGAAAGGCGUAGUCGAUGGGAAACGGGUUAAUAUUCCCGUACUUGGUGUUACUGCGAAGGGGGGACGGAGAAGGCUAUGUUGGCCGGGCGACGGUUGUCCCGGUUUAAGCGUGUAGGCUGGUUUUCCAGGCAAAUCCGGAAAAUCAAGGCUGAGGCGUGAUGACGAGGCACUACGGUGCUGAAGCAACAAAUGCCCUGCUUCCAGGAAAAGCCUCUAAGCAUCAGGUAACAUCAAAUCGUACCCCAAACCGACACAGGUGGUCAGGUAGAGAAUACCAAGGCGCUUGAGAGAACUCGGGUGAAGGAACUAGGCAAAAUGGUGCCGUAACUUCGGGAGAAGGCACGCUGACACGUAGGUGAAGUGAUUUACUCACGGAGCUGAAGUCAGUCGAAGAUACCAGCUGGCUGCAACUGUUUAUUAAAAACACAGCACUGUGCAAACACGAAAGUGGACGUAUACGGUGUGACGCCUGCCCGGUGCCGGAAGGUUAAUUGAUGGGGUCAGCGCAAGCGAAGCUCCUGAUCGAAGCCCCGGUAAACGGCGGCCGUAACUAUAACGGUCCUAAGGUAGCGAAAUUCCUUGUCGGGUAAGUUCCGACCUGCACGAAUGGCGUAAUGAUGGCCAGGCUGUCUCCACCCGAGACUCAGUGAAAUUGAACUCGCUGUGAAGAUGCAGUGUACCCGCGGCAAGACGGAAAGACCCCGUGAACCUUUACUAUAGCUUGACACUGAACAUUGAGCCUUGAUGUGUAGGAUAGGUGGGAGGCUUUGAAGCGUGGACGCCAGUCUGCGUGGAGCCGACCUUGAAAUACCACCCUUUAAUGUUUGAUGUUCUAACGUGGACCCGUAAUCCGGGUUGCGGACAGUGUCUGGUGGGUAGUUUGACUGGGGCGGUCUCCUCCUAAAGAGUAACGGAGGAGCACGAAGGUUGGCUAAUCCUGGUCGGACAUCAGGAGGUUAGUGCAAUGGCAUAAGCCAGCUUGACUGCGAGCGUGACGGCGCGAGCAGGUGCGAAAGCAGGUCAUAGUGAUCCGGUGGUUCUGAAUGGAAGGGCCAUCGCUCAACGGAUAAAAGGUACUCCGGGGAUAACAGGCUGAUACCGCCCAAGAGUUCAUAUCGACGGCGGUGUUUGGCACCUCGAUGUCGGCUCAUCACAUCCUGGGGCUGAAGUAGGUCCCAAGGGUAUGGCUGUUCGCCAUUUAAAGUGGUACGCGAGCUGGGUUUAGAACGUCGUGAGACAGUUCGGUCCCUAUCUGCCGUGGGCGCUGGAGAACUGAGGGGGGCUGCUCCUAGUACGAGAGGACCGGAGUGGACGCAUCACUGGUGUUCGGGUUGUCAUGCCAAUGGCACUGCCCGGUAGCUAAAUGCGGAAGAGAUAAGUGCUGAAAGCAUCUAAGCACGAAACUUGCCCCGA
Molecule: ribosomal RNA, 1660 nt
Filed under: Salmonella enterica subsp. enterica serovar Idikan
Lineage: Bacteria; Pseudomonadati; Pseudomonadota; Gammaproteobacteria; Enterobacterales; Enterobacteriaceae
Description: partial 23S ribosomal RNA
Rfam family: Bacterial large subunit ribosomal RNA
Source: RNAcentral